AAUCAACGCUGGCGGCGUGCCUCAGACAUGCAAGUCGAACGAUUAAAGCUCUCUUCGGAGAGUGUAUAGAGUGGCGCACGGGUGAGUAACACGUAAGUAAUCUACCUUUGAGUGGGGAAUAACAAUCGGAACGAUUGCUAAUACCGCAUAAUGCAGCGGCAUCGCAAGAUGACAGUUGUUAAAGGAGCAAUCCGCUUAAAGAGGAGCUUGCGGCAGAUUAGCUAGUUGGUAAGGUAAUGGCUUACCAAGGCUACGAUCUGUAUCCGGUCUAAGAGGACGGUCGGACACACUGACACUGAAUAACGGGUCAGACUCCUACGGGAGGCAGCAGUCGGGAAUUUUGGGCAAUGGGCGAAAGCCUGACCCAGCAACGCCGCGUGAAGGAUGAAGUAUUUCGGUAUGUAAACUUCGAAAGAAUAGGAAGAAUAAAUGACGGUACUAUUUAUAAGGUCCGGCUAACUACGUGCCAGCAGCCGCCGUAAC
Molecule: ribosomal RNA, 483 nt
Filed under: uncultured bacterium
Lineage: Bacteria
Description: bacterial SSU rRNA
Rfam family: Bacterial small subunit ribosomal RNA
Source: RNAcentral